RNAcentral lists this non-coding RNA (286 nucleotides) under Oesophagostomum dentatum (nodular worm). RNAcentral describes it as "Eukaryotic small subunit ribosomal RNA". It matches the Rfam family "Eukaryotic small subunit ribosomal RNA", at positions 103 to 385 of the family's 1831-position model. Lineage: Eukaryota; Metazoa; Nematoda; Chromadorea; Rhabditida; Strongylidae. The record is from Rfam by way of RNAcentral.
AAAGCGGAUACAGGCGCAAAAGAAUAAUAGAAUAAUAGAUACAUAGCAGGAGAUAACUGCGGCAAUUCCGGAGCUAAUAUAUGUGAAUAAACCCUGAUUUUCGAAAGGGUGCAAUUAUGAGAGCAAAACAAUCAUCUUCGGAUGUAGUUUGCUGACUCUAAAUAACGCUGCAUAUCGUCGGCUUGUCCAACGAUAUUCCGAAAAAGUGUCUGCCCUAUCAAUCUGAUGGUAGUCUACCAGUCUACUAUAGUUAUUACGGGUAACCGAGAAUAAGGGCUCGGUUCCA